RNAcentral lists this ribosomal RNA (456 nucleotides) under uncultured bacterium. RNAcentral describes it as "bacterial SSU rRNA". It matches the Rfam family "Bacterial small subunit ribosomal RNA", at positions 923 to 1379 of the family's 1533-position model. The record is from RNAcentral.
GCACAAGCGGUGGAGCAUGUGGUUUAAUUCGACGCAACGCGAAGAACCUUACCUGGCCUUGACAUGCAGAGAACUGUCCAGAGAUGGACGGGUGCCUUCGGGAACUCUGACACAGGUGCUGCAUGGCCGUCGUCAGCUCGUGUCGUGAGAUGUUGGGUUAAGUCCCGUAACGAGCGCAACCCCUAUCCCUAGUUGCCAGCGAUUUGGUCGGGAACUCUAGGGAGACUGCCGGUGACAAACCGGAGGAAGGUGGGGAUGACGUCAAAUCAUCAUGCCCCUUAUGACCUGGGCUACACACGUGCUACAAUGGACGGUACAAACGGUUGCCAACCCGCGAGGGGGAGCCAAUCCGAUAAAACCGUUCUCAGUUCGGAUUGUAGGCUGCAACUCGCCUACAUGAAGCCGGAAUCGCUAGUAAUCGCGGAUCAGCAUGCCGCGGUGAAUACGUUCCCGGGC